RNAcentral lists this transfer RNA (72 nucleotides) under Trichonephila inaurata madagascariensis. It matches the Rfam family "tRNA". From Rfam's summary of the family: Transfer RNA (tRNA) molecules are approximately 80 nucleotides in length. Lineage: Eukaryota; Metazoa; Arthropoda; Arachnida; Araneae; Nephilidae. The record is from Rfam by way of RNAcentral.
GUCCUUGUAGCGCAAUGGAUAGUGCUAAGACUUCUAAUUUAAAAGUCGUGGGUUAAAAUCCCACCUAGGAUG